AAGGCAUUACUUGAACACUUUCUUUUCGAUCAGGUACUUGGCGCAAACCACAGUCAUUUCCCUGGAGGAGGUGGGAGGAUUUCAGAAGUGGAAAAACCCUGCUAAAGCAGCCAUGCUGCCAUCAUCUGAAUGGAUUGAAGCUGAGUUAUGGAGUACUGGAUGGUUUGGCUGAGUGCCAUUGGAUGAUCAAACUUCUGCUAACUAGUUGACCUUCCAGAGAAUCCAACAGCACGCACCACUGGCUGGACAAACCGAGAUCCUCAUACAAUGCUUGAUCACUUUAGCCUGUAAAUAGAGCAAAGGAACCAAGAGAUUGGCUGCUGACUCUCAGAAAGAAAAUUCUGGAGACAGAUUCAAAAGAAUGAAUAAUUGAAGAAAAAUCUGUUGACGACAUUAACUAGGCCAUUUCUCCAUCCACAGUGCCAGCUUUUCCGAAUGGGACUCUUCAGUUAAUAAAUUUCAGUAAACACAA
Chiloscyllium plagiosum (whitespotted bambooshark) is the source of this 472-nucleotide non-coding RNA. Lineage: Eukaryota; Metazoa; Chordata; Chondrichthyes; Orectolobiformes; Hemiscylliidae. The record is from RefSeq and is a predicted model, not a curated record.